GACGAACCGUGCAAACGUUGUUCGGAAUCACUGGGCUUAAAGGGCGCGUAGGCGGGCCAGCCAGUCUGUGGUGAAAGCCUCCAGCUUAACUGGAGAAGUGCCGUGGAUACUGCUGGCCUCGAGGAGGAUAGGGGCAUCUGGAACGGUCGGUGGAGCGGUGAAAUGCGUUGAUAUCGACCGGAACUCCGGUGGCGAAGGCGGGUCUCUGGACAGUUCCUGACGCUGAGGCACGAAGGUCAGGGGAGCAAACGGG
Molecule: ribosomal RNA, 253 nt
Filed under: uncultured bacterium
Lineage: Bacteria
Description: partial 16S ribosomal RNA
Rfam family: Bacterial small subunit ribosomal RNA
Source: RNAcentral